AGCGAGACUGAAGACACUGACGAGAAGGAGAAGAGUGAUAAAUCAGGUGCAGACAAAACAGAUCCUGAUCGCUCUUCAGAAAAAGGAGACAGCAAAUGCAGACAGCGAUGCAGACAGUGGCGUAGACAGCACAGGUCCAAAAGGCGAGGAUGAAGGUUUAGACAAGGACAAGGACAGCUCACACAAGACCAGCGACGACACCAGCAACGACAGCAAUGAGGGAAAAGAGAUCGAGAGGGAAACCACGACUGAAAACGAAGACAAAGACUCUGAGAAAUCUAAAGAGACCGCCGAAGAACCGUCUUCUGUAGACUCCCAGGAAAGCCAAAAGACCGCCUCCUCCAGCUCAGACUCCUCCCACUCCUCAAGCAAAGAAAACAACCAGGACCAGGAGAAGAGCAGCGCCGAGUCCACUGAUAAAGACAGCUCAGACAGUUCGGACCGGGACAGCACCGAGACCGAGGGAGAGGUUGCAGAUGACAGUGACAGCAGCCCAGAGACGGAGACGUCAGAUGAAAACGACAACAGCGACUCGAUGGACGCAACAGAGUCGACGUCACAUGAUGAGACCACUGAUGAAGAGACGGACACAGACACUACUGUGCCUGAUGGGAUACCCCCCCCCGGUCAGGUCUUAGCAUCCAGGAUAUAAUAACAUGCAGCAGUUUAACAGGGUCAUCCGACACAACAACAGAAGCAACUCAAGUGGCCAUAAUAACCCGUCGCAUUCUGAUUCCCGUUAACACACGACACGUUUAAAUGCCAUCUCUCUCUCUCUCUCUCUCUCUCUCUCUCACAUGGUGAAGGGUUCUAUCUAGAGGGUUCUGGGAUGCACGUUAAAUUAUUCAGCUGUUUUUGGUGUACAUUCUGUUUCUCCCAUAUUUGAUAAACUAAUUUCUUUUUCAUGUAACUUAUGAAGAGGAUCUCAGAGGUCACGUUGGCUCUUUAGUAGUUAGUGUUAAACAAUUAAAGGUCAGUGGAGAGUGAUGGUGAUUCACGGUUUCGAGUCUUUUCUGCUUUUCGUUUGUUUGCUGCUGUCUGUGGCCCUGGUGGUAAGACAUCCUGUACAACUCCUACACUGACAAUGUUCUCCUGACUCAGCUAAACGUCCGGUGGUUCACAUCUCCAGCGCGAGAGCCGGACUGUAGAUGAGGCUGUUUUCUACAAAUUAAAGUGUACAGACUGUUUUAUGAAACACUCCUUUACGCUGGCGUCUCUGAAGGCGUAUUAACUAAUACUGUAGUGACGUAAUGGCACAGACUGUUUUGUGAAUUACUGAGGUAACACAGAUGUAUAGAUUUAAUUAAUGUCACUCAAAUAUGUAUGCAGGGAGCAAUUCUAAUAAAGACUGAGUUGUCAGACCA
This 1364-nucleotide long non-coding RNA is filed under the name Astyanax mexicanus (Mexican tetra). RNAcentral's name for it is "lncRNA (ENSAMXG00005012088.1)". The record is from RNAcentral. Lineage: Eukaryota; Metazoa; Chordata; Actinopteri; Characiformes; Acestrorhamphidae.